RNAcentral lists this ribosomal RNA (441 nucleotides) under uncultured bacterium. RNAcentral describes it as "partial 16S ribosomal RNA". It matches the Rfam family "Bacterial small subunit ribosomal RNA", at positions 338 to 795 of the family's 1533-position model. The record is from RNAcentral.
CCUACGGGAGGCAGCAGUGGGGAAUAUUGCACAAUGGGGGAAACCCUGAUGCAGCAACGCCGCGUGAAGGAAGACGGUUUUCGGAUUGUAAACUUCUGUUCUUAGUGAAGAAUAAUGACGGUAGCUAAGGAGCAAGCCACGGCUAACUACGUGCCAGCAGCCGCGGUAAUACGUAGGUGGCAAGCGUUGUCCGGAAUUACUGGGUGUAAAGGGAGCGUAGACGGCGAUGCAAGCCAGAUGUGAAAGCCCGGGGCUCAACCCCGGGACUGCAUUUGGAACUGUGUGGCUGGAGUGUCGGAGAGGCAGGCGGAAUGCCUAGUGUAGCGGUGAAAUGCGUAGAUAUUAGGAGGAACACCAGUGGCGAGGGCGGCCUGCUGGACGAUGACUGACGUUGAGGCUCGAAAGCGUGGGGAGCAAACAGGAUUAGAUACCCCGGUAGUC